RNAcentral lists this ribosomal RNA (1343 nucleotides) under uncultured bacterium. RNAcentral's name for it is "16S ribosomal RNA". It matches the Rfam family "Bacterial small subunit ribosomal RNA", at positions 28 to 1378 of the family's 1533-position model. The record is from RNAcentral.
GACGAACGCUGGCGGCGUGCUUAACACAUGCAAGUCGAACGGAAAGGCCCUGCUUUUGUGGGGUGCUCGAGUGGCGAACGGGUGAGUAACUCGUGAGUAACCUGCCCUUGACUUUGGGAUAACUUCAGGAAACUGGGGCUAAUACCGGAUAGGAGCUCCUGCUGCAUGGUGGGGGUUGGAAAGUUUCGGCGGUUGGGGAUGGACUCGCGGCUUAUCAGCUUGUUGGUGGGGUAGUGGCUUACCAAGGCUUUGACGGGUAGCCGGCCUGAGAGGGUGACCGGCCACAUUGGGACUGAGAUACGGCCCAGACUCCUACGGGAGGCAGCAGUGGGGAAUAUUGCACAAUGGGCGGAAGCCUGAUGCAGCAACGCCGCGUGCGGGAUGACGGCCUUCGGGUUGUAAACCGCUUUCGCCUGUGACGAAGCGUGAGUGACGGUAAUGGGUAAAGAAGCACCGGCUAACUACGUGCCAGCAGCCGCGGCGAUACGUAGGGUGCGAGCGUUGUCCGGAUUUAUUGGGCGUAAAGGGCUCGUAGGUGGUUGAUCGCGUCGGAAGUGUAAUCUUGGGGCUUAACCCUGAGCGUGCUUUCGAUACGGGUUGACUUGAGGAAGGUAGGGGAGAAUGGAAUUCCUGGUGGAGCGGUGGAAUGCGCAGAUAUCAGGAGGAACACCAGUGGCGAAGGCGGUUCUCUGGGCCUUUCCUGACGCCGAGGAGCGAAAGCGUGGGGAGCGAACAGGCUUAGAUACCCUGGUAGUCCACGCUGUAAACGGUGGGUACUAGGUGUGGGGUCCAUUCCACGGGUUCCGUGCCGUAGCUAACGCUUUAAGUACCCCGCCUGGGGAGUACGGCCGCAAGGCUAAAACUCAAAGGAAUUGACGGGGCCCCGCACAAGCGGCGGAGCAUGCGGAUUAAUUCGAUGCAACGCGUAGAACCUUACCUGGGUUUGACAUGGAUCGGGAGUGCUCAGAGAUGGGUGUGCCUCUUUUGGGGUCGGUUCACAGGUGGUGCAUGGCUGUCGUCAGCUCGUGUCGUGAGAUGUUGGGUUAAGUCCCGCAACGAGCGCAACCCUUGUUCACUGUUGCCAGCACGUUAUGGUGGGGACUCAGUGGAGACCGCCGGGGUCAACUCGGAGGAAGGUGGGGAUGACGUCAAGUCAUCAUGCCCCUUAUGUCCAGGGCUUCACGCAUGCUACAAUGGCUGGUACAGAGAGUGGCGAGCCUGUGAGGGUGAGCGAAUCUCGGAAAGCCGGUCUCAGUUCGGAUUGGGGUCUGCAACUCGACCUCAUGAAGUCGGAGUCGCUAGUAAUCGCAGAUCAGCAACGCUGCGGUGAAUACGUUCCCGGG